Long non-coding RNA from Gallus gallus (chicken), 2579 nucleotides. RefSeq lists it as uncharacterized. The record is from RefSeq and is a predicted model, not a curated record. NCBI's taxonomy places the organism in Eukaryota, Metazoa, Chordata, Aves, Galliformes, Phasianidae. The transcript is spliced from 2 exons.
UCCGGCGCACGGCCGCAGCGCAGCGAGGAAGCGCCGCCGCCUCCCGCCGUGCCCCCGCGCUCACCCCGCUCCCGCCCAGCCCGAAGCGCCGCGAGCCCCGCGAGCCCCGGGCGGUGUGCGGCGCGGGGCGGGAGCGGGCGGGCGGCGCGGCCCUUACCUCGCGGCGGCGCGGGGCUCCGGUCACGGCCACGCGGCGCUAUCGCCGGGGGAUCCUUUAACAGCCCUUAAAUAUUGAAGCCUAAAAACAAUAUUUGCUGUUUUACCUUUGAAGCGUUAACAAAAGCUUUGUUUUAGCGUUUACCUCGGUGUGCAAUAAGAGUUAAUAAUCAAAUCCGUCCCAACCCCCACAAAUGUUAAACAAAAAGAUAAAAGAAAUGCAAAUAGCUAUUGUCAUGGAAAGUUAAAGUACCUGUCUGUAUUUUUAAGUGAAAACUAUUAUCUCUAUCAAUCAAAAUUUAAGAACACAAUAGCGCUAAUCACACGAGGUGCUGUGACUGAGGCACUUUUCCCUCAUAAAAAAGUUUUUUUUUUUCCUUUUUUUUUUUUUUUUUUCUUUUCUCUUUUUUAACCCGGUGCACAGAAGCGCCGCGCUCCCCGUUACAGACGGCGCGAGCGAUGGCGGUGCGGCACCCCCGGCGCCCCCCGGCUCCCCACCGUCAGCGCCGCGCCAGGCGGGCGGAUCGCGCCGCGCACCGCAGUGCCCGCACGCCGUGCUCAGGUUGGUGAAAUCCUCCUCGCUCCUCGCACUUCCCAACAUGUGGUGGAACAGCACACUCUUCUGUUUGAGAGGAGUUACUCAAACGGAGGAAAUAGUUAAUUGCUCGCCCCAACUACCGCCGCCGGCCUCGGCGCGCAGCGCCCGCGGCUCUCCCGGCGCCCCGGCGGCACUCCGGAGAUGCGCCCUUUGUCACCCGGCCGCAAUGGCCACGCCGGGCCCUCCCGCCGGACCCCGCGCUCAGGGUGUGCUCGGAAGUCAUUUUUAAAACUAAUCUGUUCCGACCGAGCCAGAAAGCGAGCCGCACGGUUAAUAAGGGCGAGCGCGAGCGGCAGUAAUUACAGCCGCACUAAAAGAAAGAGCUGCAGAUGAAAACACCUCCAGCCGGCAGAGCAGUUGAGGAUGCCAUGAUGAAGCCUGGCGGAGGGCUGCCUCCCUCGCCCAGCAGCAGCAGGACUGUCAUUUUUUCCCCCAGCGCUAUCAGGUUUCCCACUGCACAGCCCCGCCGCUCUGCAUCACGGCUAACAUCUCCAGUGUGCUAUUAAUAUCAAUGAAGAGACGAUUCAAUUUCCACAUAAGAAAAACCUUCCUCUCACAGCACAGACGUUCUGGUGAGGACCCUUGCUAAGGAAACAAUAAAGACCAGAGGGGUUGGAUUUUUUUUUUUCCUCUUUUUUUUUUUUUUUUUUGUGCUGCUGCUCUCGCAGUCCUGUGUUGCACACUGUUGGAAAGCUUUUAGCUAACAAUGGCAGCAUUAUCUUCGGGAUAGUUACAAAACAGGAUUUGUUAGUACAAAGAAUAACAACACCGAACUCACUCCCCGCUGCCCCCCCCGCCAAUACCUGCCUAUUGCAGCACGGCGUUUCGGACUUUACUCGGAGUAUAUUCCAGAAACACCUGUAUUCCUCAGCCAAUUCCUGCUGCAAACUGCCCCAGCACACCCACUGUGCUUCAGGAGCUUCGGACGAGUCAAACAAACAAACAAACAAUCGCUCUCUGCGUUUGUAAAACGGAACAGAAACAAAAGUAGCUCACCCUGCCGUGGUGCAAACUUACCCAUUAAUGAGGAAGAAAAAGCCUUAGAGCUGCAAGUAAUUCCCAACCAACUGCAGAAAGUUGAGAGUUUGAGAACACCAAAGCACUUCGGACUAUCCAGCCUUUCUGUGCCUCAACACUGGCUGCAGUGUAAGGAAGGACUGAAGAAUGAAGAAGCGAAAUGUGAAGGCAAUUGGAAUUCACCAGUGUCCCUCCCUGGACUCAAGGAGUCAAAUCGCACUGACCUCUUUUUGUAAGUCCUAGCUACAUGUUGGUUUUAGUAAUUUAAUUAUUUUUUAAUAACUUGCAGUAUUAAAUGAUUGCCACUGAAACACAAAUACGAUUAUACUCCCCUGCCUUUCCCUCCUGUGCCCCGGACUGCCGCCCGACGUGGACAACAUGACUGCUUUCGACACCGACAUUUCAUUCUGCAAGACCACUCAGGCACACAGAAAGCAGCACACGGUUACUGGGUUCCCAAGCACGUGCUGCAGAUCGUGUCAAAGGAUACUGGACAUAACUAACAGUUUUAAUGAGACUCAAACGCGUUCGGUUCAACUAAGCACUCCUACAGAACGGAGGGAGUUUUCACUUUCCCUUGGAUUAAACUCACCGUGUUAAAACCAAAUUGCUAACAAGAGCUAGUCAAGCCUAACAAGAUAAAAAUCCCCCACACAGAAAAUCCUGCAAGAAAUUUUAGAGCCCCCGUAUCACUCACUGUUUUUGCAUUGAAAUGACCUUCCAAAUAAGGUGUUAAAUAAUACGGUUCGCAUAGAUGAUAGUGAUCUAACCUUGAUGCAAAUAAACCAUAGAACAAAAUUUAAUCAGU